UGAGAGUGAUGAGAUUCCACUUCGUUGGUCCGUGUUUCUGAAACCCGUGACUUGGUGGAAGUUCUGACUUG
RNAcentral lists this small nucleolar RNA (71 nucleotides) under Eurypyga helias (sunbittern). RNAcentral's name for it is "Small nucleolar RNA SNORD18". It matches the Rfam family "Small nucleolar RNA SNORD18". Rfam says of the family: U18 is a member of the C/D class of snoRNA which contain the C (UGAUGA) and D (CUGA) box motifs. It is encoded in introns of ribosomal protein L1 in Xenopus and human, and in introns of elongation factor 1 beta in yeast. Related snoRNAs in Arabidopsis and rice have been named R63 and Z106 respectively. Lineage: Eukaryota; Metazoa; Chordata; Aves; Eurypygiformes; Eurypygidae. The record is from Rfam by way of RNAcentral.